Molecule: unclassified non-coding RNA, 253 nt
Filed under: fungal sp.
Lineage: Eukaryota; Fungi
Description: partial internal transcribed spacer region
Rfam family: Eukaryotic small subunit ribosomal RNA (bases 1-46)
Source: RNAcentral
AAGUCGUAACAAGGUUUCCGUAGGUGAACCUGCGGAAGGAUCAUUAACAGUGCUCUUUGUAUGCAAAUACAAACCCACAACCAACCAUGUGUGAACCGUUUUGACUUACCAAAUGUGUGCGGGUACUCAGAGUUGACGCUCUGAGUAUGGCUGUGCACGUUUUUUACUUGACAAACCCUGUUUUUGAAGUACUGAAUAGUAAAGCUUAGUUGAAAAACUUGCAAAACUUUUAGCAAUGGAUCUCUAGGUUCUU